GACGAACGCUGGCGGCGUGCCUAAUACAUGCAAGUAGAACGCUGAAGAGAGGAGCUUGCUCUUCUUGGAUGAGUUGCGAACGGGUGAGUAACGCGUAGGUAACCUGCCUGGUAGCGGGGGAUAACUAUUGGAAACGAUAGCUAAUACCGCAUAAAAUUGAUUAUUGCAUGAUAAUUAAUUGAAAGAUGCAAUUGCAUCACUACCAGAUGGACCUGCGUUGUAUUAGCUAGUUGGUGAGGUAACGGCUCACCAAGGCGACGAUACAUAGCCGACCUGAGAGGGUGAUCGGCCACACUGGGACUGAGACACGGCCCAGACUCCUACGGGAGGCAGCAGUAGGGAAUCUUCGGCAAUGGGGGGAACCCUGACCGAGCAACGCCGCGUGAGUGAAGAAGGUUUUCGGAUCGUAAAGCUCUGUUGUAAGAGAAGAACGGGUGUGAGAGUGGAAAGUUCACACUGUGACGGUAUCUUACCAGAAAGGGACGGCUAACUACGUGCCAGCAGCCGCGGUAAUACGUAGGUCCCGAGCGUUGUCCGGAUUUAUUGGGCGUAAAGCGAGCGCAGGCGGUUAGAUAAGUCUGAAGUUAAAGGCUGUGGCUUAACCAUAGUAUGCUUUGGAAACUGUUUAACUUGAGUGCAGAAGGGGAGAGUGGAAUUCCAUGUGUAGCGGUGAAAUGCGUAGAUAUAUGGAGGAACACCGGUGGCGAAAGCGGCUCUCUGGUCUGUAACUGACGCUGAGGCUCGAAAGCGUGGGGAGCGAACAGGAUUAGAUACCCUGGUAGUCCACGCCGUAAACGAUGAGUGCUAGGUGUUAGGCCCUUUCCGGGGCUUAGUGCCGCAGCUAACGCAUUAAGCACUCCGCCUGGGGAGUACGACCGCAAGGUUGAAACUCAAAGGAAUUGACGGGGGCCCGCACAAGCGGUGGAGCAUGUGGUUUAAUUCGAAGCAACGCGAAGAACCUUACCAGGUCUUGACAUCCCUCUGUCCGCUCUAGAGAUAGAGUUUUCCUUCGGGACAGAGGUGACAGGUGGUGCAUGGUUGUCGUCAGCUCGUGUCGUGAGAUGUUGGGUUAAGUCCCGCAACGAGCGCAACCCCUAUUGUUAGUUGCCAUCAUUGAGUUGGGCACUCUAGCGAGACUGCCGGUAAUAAACCGGAGGAAGGUGGGGAUGACGUCAAAUCAUCAUGCCCCUUAUGACCUGGGCUACACACGUGCUACAAUGGCUGGUACAACGAGUCGCAAGCCGGUGACGGCAAGCUAAUCUCUGAAAGCCAGUCUCAGUUCGGAUUGUAGGCUGCAACUCGCCUACAUGAAGUCGGAAUCGCUAGUAAUCGCGGAUCAGCACGCCGCGGUGAAUACGUUCCCGGGCCU
Molecule: ribosomal RNA, 1369 nt
Filed under: uncultured bacterium
Lineage: Bacteria
Description: bacterial SSU rRNA
Rfam family: Bacterial small subunit ribosomal RNA
Source: RNAcentral